CAGCCGCCACGGUAAUACAGAGGUCUCAAGCGUUGUUCGGAUUCAUUGGGCGUAAAGGGUGCGUAGGUGGCUUGGUAAGUUGAAGGUGAAAUCUCGGGGCUUAACUCCGAAACUGCCUUCAAUACUGCUGAGCUCGAGGAUUGUAGAGGAGAAUGGAAUUCACGGUGUAGCAGUGAAAUGCGUAGAUAUCGUGAGGAAGACCAGUGGCGAAGGCGAUUCUCUGGGCAAUUCCUGACACUGAGGCACGAAGGCCAGGGGAGCAAACGGGAUUAGAUACCCCAGUAGUCCCUGUCUCUUAUAC
This 301-nucleotide ribosomal RNA is filed under the name uncultured bacterium. RNAcentral describes it as "partial 16S ribosomal RNA". It matches the Rfam family "Bacterial small subunit ribosomal RNA", at positions 509 to 807 of the family's 1533-position model. The record is from RNAcentral.